AUCACUUUGCGGCCUUUUGGCUAAGAUCAAGUGAGUGCUCUUCUCGGUAUUGGUUCUUACCAGUUUAAUAUCUGAUGCGUCCUUGAUGAGAGGACUUUCUAUUAAAUGGAUUUUUGGGCCCAGAGGUUGUUCCUGCCACUCAGCACACUGUUACGGUGUUGUAGUGCCUCCGGGACACUUUCUUUU
Small nuclear RNA from Pseudopipra pipra, 186 nucleotides. RefSeq annotates it as U2 spliceosomal RNA. The transcript has a single exon. NCBI's taxonomy places the organism in Eukaryota, Metazoa, Chordata, Aves, Passeriformes, Pipridae. The record is from RefSeq and is a predicted model, not a curated record.